CGUGUAGGCGGUAUCAUAAGUCAGAUGUGAAAGUUCGGGGCUUAACCCCGGAAUUGCAUUUGAAACUAUGUAGCUAGAGUUCUGUAGAGGGGGGUAGAAUUCCAGGUGUAGCGGUGAAAUGCGUAGAGAUCUGGAGGAAUACCGAUUGCGAAGGCAGCCCCCUGGACAGUGACUGACGCUCAUAUGCGAAAGCGUGGGGAUCAAACAGGAUUAGAUACCCCCGUA
This 225-nucleotide ribosomal RNA is filed under the name uncultured Thorsellia sp. RNAcentral's name for it is "partial 16S ribosomal RNA". It matches the Rfam family "Bacterial small subunit ribosomal RNA", at positions 568 to 792 of the family's 1533-position model. The record is from RNAcentral. Lineage: Bacteria; Pseudomonadati; Pseudomonadota; Gammaproteobacteria; Enterobacterales; Thorselliaceae.